Schistosoma mansoni is the source of this 45-nucleotide non-coding RNA. The record is from Rfam. Lineage: Eukaryota; Metazoa; Platyhelminthes; Trematoda; Strigeidida; Schistosomatidae.
AUCCAGCUGACGAAUCCAGAAUAGGAUGAAACGCAUGACCUGGAU